RNAcentral lists this long non-coding RNA (850 nucleotides) under Equus caballus (horse). RNAcentral's name for it is "lncRNA (ENSECAG00000058760.1)". The record is from RNAcentral. Lineage: Eukaryota; Metazoa; Chordata; Mammalia; Perissodactyla; Equidae.
CUUGACCUGGGAAUCCUGCCAUCCACCACAUGGAAAGGCCACUGUGCAUGUUCUGGCCCCAAGCCUAGCUGGCAGUCAGCCUUGACCACCCACCAUCAAUAUCAUCAGCAGCAGCCUUGUGACACCAAAUACAGGAAGCCCUGAAAGGCACGGGGGGAAUCCCCUCGGGGGUAGCUUCCAGACCACGGCCGGCUGGAAGUUGGUGAUAAUGCCCUGUCCUCCCCUGCCUCCCUGGAGCUGGUUCUGAGCUGACUGCAACCAGUCUUAUCUUGGAGUCUAGUGUUGGGGAAAAUCAAGAUGCUGCUGUCAUCUGGUCAUUUCCAGCUCCUUGUGUCAAACAAACAGCAAACAAGAAAGGAGUCACUCCCAUGGGGAAGCCAGCUGCCUUGUUAGGUGGACACUGUGGAGAGGCCUCCAUGGCAAGGAAUGAGUGCUGCCCACACCAUGCGGCGAGCUUGGGAGUGGAUCCCGUUACAGACAGCUUGAUGCAUCCUCAUGAGAGACCCUGAGCCAGAGCCACGCAGCCUAGCUGCUCCUGGAUUCCUGAUCCAUGGAAACUAAAUUAGAUUAUAGAGCCUGAGAAGUCCCAUGGUCUGCCAUCUGCAAGCUGAAGAACCAGGAAAGCUGGUGGUGUAAUUCAAUCCGAGUCCAAAGGCCUGAGUACUAAGGGAGCCAAUGGUUUAAGUCCCUGUCUGAGUCUGAAGGCCCAAGAACCAGGAGCGCCAAUGUCCAAGGGCAGGAGAAGAUGGAUGUCCCAGUUCAAGCAGAGAGCAAAUUCACCCUUCCUCUGCCUUUUUGUUCCAUUCAGGCCUCAAUGGAUUGGAUGAUGCCCACCCACAUUAAUAAGGGC